Long non-coding RNA from Etheostoma spectabile (orangethroat darter), 641 nucleotides. RefSeq lists it as uncharacterized. The transcript has 3 exons. The record is from RefSeq and is a predicted model, not a curated record. Lineage: Eukaryota; Metazoa; Chordata; Actinopteri; Perciformes; Percidae.
CCACUGAAAACUAAAAAAAAAAAAAAAAAAAAGGGCAGAUCUGUUUGGGUCUGGUAAUCAUUAAAAGGGAUUACUUUUGUAUUGGUUAUUCAUUUUUUUUUUUUUAUGAAAAUCCUACAUAAUAUACCUUUAAACAGAUGAUUACUGAUUUCCAUUAAAGAUUGUUAAGAUCAAAUGUGCUGCUUAAAUAACACCACCACAGAUCUGUUUUACUGCAUGUUGCCUUUGGCAGGCUUUAAAUGUCUACCUAGUCAGCAAGUGAGGGAGAUGUACAGAGGAACACACGUAAAUGUGUCUGCAGGCGGCCAGCACAUGAAGAAAAUACACAUUCCCAAAUCUAUGAUGUCUGCACCCUUCUUACAGCAUCCAGCCCUUACAGCAGGACAGAGGCGCUACCUUUGCAGUAUAGCUAAUGUUUACAGUACAGAGCACAUGAAGCAGCAGAUGAAGCAGCACUAUCUCAAUGUGUAGCACACAUGUGUUCAUUCAGGUCAGAGUCCCACCUGCAGAAGGAGGUUUGGGUUUCAUCAGCGGAGAGACAAUAGUACGUUCACGAGGGAUGCACAGAAGGAUGUGGCAAGGCCGAAGCCUCGAGGACAGAGGAAAAGCAGCAGCACAGCUAAUUCUGAUGUCGUACUUCC